RNAcentral lists this ribosomal RNA (490 nucleotides) under uncultured bacterium. Its description in RNAcentral is "partial 16S ribosomal RNA". It matches the Rfam family "Bacterial small subunit ribosomal RNA", at positions 30 to 507 of the family's 1533-position model. The record is from RNAcentral.
AUUGAACGCUGGCGGCAGGCCUAACACAUGCAAGUCGAACGGUAACAGGAAACAGCUUGCUGUUUCGCUGACGAGUGGCGGACGGGUGAGUAAUGUCUGGGAAACUGCCUGAUGGAGGGGGAUAACUACUGGAAACGGUAGCUAAUACCGCAUAACGUCGCAAGACCAAAGAGGGGGACCUUCGGGCCUCUUGCCAUCGGAUGUGCCCAGAUGGGAUUCGCUAGUAGGUGGGGUAACGGCUCACCUAGGCGACGAUCCCUAGCUGGUGUGAGAGGAUGACCGGCCACACGGGAACUGAGACACGGUCCAGACUCCUACGGGAGGGAGCAGUGGGGAAUAUUGCACAAUGGGCGCAAGCCUGAUGCAGCCAUGCCGCGUGUAUGAAGAAGGCCUUCGGGUUGUAAAGUACUUUCAGCGGGGAGGAAGGGAGUAAAGUUAAUACCUUUACUCAUUGACGUUACCCGCAGAAGAAGCACCGGCUAACUCCGUG